UUGGGAAUCUUGCACAAUGGGGGAAACCCUGAUGCAGCGACGCCGCGUGGAGGAUGAAGGAUCUAGGUCUGUAAACUCCUUUUUCAUGGAAAGACUUAGGACGGUACCAUGAGAAUAAGCCCCGGCUAACUACGUGCCAGCAGCCGCGGUAAGACGUAGGGGGCGAGCGUUGUCCGGAUUUACUGGGCGUAAAGAGCGCGUAGGCGGCUUGUUAAGUGUGAAGUGAAAUCUCCAGGGCUCAACCCGGAAACUGCUUUACAUACUGGCAAGCUAGAGGAAUGCAGAGGUAAGUGGAAUUCCUGGUGUAGCGGUGAAAUGCGUAGAUAUCAGGAGGAACACCCAUGGCGAAGGCAGCUUACUGGGCAUUAUCUGACGCUGAGGCGCGAAAGCGUGGGUAGCAAACAGG
Molecule: ribosomal RNA, 406 nt
Filed under: uncultured bacterium
Lineage: Bacteria
Description: bacterial SSU rRNA
Rfam family: Bacterial small subunit ribosomal RNA
Source: RNAcentral